Molecule: long non-coding RNA, 1925 nt
Organism: Grus americana (Whooping crane)
Lineage: Eukaryota; Metazoa; Chordata; Aves; Gruiformes; Gruidae
Exons: 3
Source: RefSeq, a predicted model, not a curated record
CUCAACACUUGGCUGUGCCAGAUGACUGCGGUCCCUGUGAGAAACGAGCCCUGCACCCCCAGCCCCAUGCAGGGUCCUGCAGAGCCAGGGAGGGGAACACCAGGCUGGCUUCAGGCAGGUGGGGAGAAGCCGGAGGCCGCGGGGACUGCCCCGCGCAGCAGCAUCCUGGGACUGGCCAGCACUGGACCAGAAAUAGUUAUGCAAGGCGGAAAGGAAAAGAAAGCAAGUUCACAUCGCACCCAAGGAGCGGAGCAGGCUGGAGACAAGGGAAGCAGCUUCUCGUCACCUGCAGCACCAUGUUUCCACAGAACAAAAACCGUGAUGUUAUGAAUGAAAGGGCCUGGAAACACUGAAAAAUCACUUGAGAAGAAAAAUUAUGCCAAUGAGUAAAUCAUCCAAUGAUUAAAGCAGCAACAGAUCCUGGAGUCAAGGCAGUUUUGGUUUAAAAAAGCCCAAAGGAUUUCAGCUAUGCUUCCUAGGGCAGGGCAUAAAAUGCAGCAGCUGUUGAAAGUCACGCUCCGGUGCUCCACCUGCCCCAUGUGCUGAAUUCAAAAGCAGGCAAUAAAACUCUUAACUAACAGGGCAAGAAAGGUGUAAAACAGGGGACCAGAGACCUCCGUGCCUGAAGGAAAAGUCCAAGAGGGGUGAACGGCUGUUUUACACCAGCGGCUGCCUGACUCUACAAGCCUUCAUCUUCCCCUACACCUACUUCCACUGAAUGCGGCGUGUGGGAAGAAAUCACAUUUUGGGAGCUCUUUGGAAGCAGAGAUUCCAGGCGCGCCGUUGCUAACUCUCACCUAAGAGCUUGCGGCAGGUUUUGCCUCUGGGAGCUUGUGGCCCAAACCAGUUGUUGAGCAUCCUCAGCUGAUUCUCCUGGCGAAGAUGAAGAAGGAAGCAAAGAAGAUGCAUGAUGGAGAGGUGGCACCAGGUUCUGCCCCGUGGGAGCCCUACACCCUGCACAGACCUCACCUCUCGGGGAAAGGCACCUGCAAGUUGGCACCCAUUGCUCCUGGUUUUUAGCUGGGAUAGAGUUAAUUUUCACAAGAAGCCAGGAGGGGACACAGCCAGGACAGCUGACCCACACUAGCCAAAGGGAUAUUCCAUAUCAUAUGAUGUCAUGCUCUGGAUAUAAGGGGGGGAGCAGGCUGGGGAGGAGGGGUCACUGCUCAGGGACAGGCUGGGCUUUGGGUUCCGGGUAGUGAGCAAAUUGCCUUGUGUAUCACCCACUUUGUAUAUUCUUUUCUUCAUGGUGGUGUUAUUUUUCUCUCCCUUUGCUGUCCCAGUAAACUGCCCUUAUCCCAACCCACCAGUUUUACCUUUUUCUUCUGAUUCUCCUCCCCAUCCCACUGGAUGGUUGGAGGAGUGAGUGAGUGAGUGGCCAUGCGGUGCUCAGCUGCUGGCAGUGGCUAAACCAUGACAGCAAGCCAGGAGGGAGGGAAGGGGUGGGGAGAUGCUGUAGACCCCGUGCCAAAACAGCACUUUCAACAGCUCCUGAGAGGUGGGAACUGGCAUCGCUGCUGGGAUCGAUGUGGGAGUGCUGCCCUGGCCCUUGGGGUUUAACUGGAGCUGGGCACCAAAAUGAACCUGAGGAUCUGGCUCUUGGGUCCUCCUGAGGCUUUUUUUGGACCCUUGGCUGGUGGUUUGCUGUUGCUCCAGCACAUUCCUGUUCCCUUACUCCUUCCCCAGCAGCCCCUUUGCAGAAGAUCAUGCUGGUGUCCCAGGAGAGCUGCCAGUGCCAGCUGCCUCUAUAAAUACUCCUGCUAUAAAUUCAGAGAGCUCGGUCCCUGGCAGGCACAGCCCUGCCUCCAUCACCACGUUGCAGGGUGCCGGGCUGGAAACUCGCAGGCGGUGAGCACUGCCACAAGAGAAACAGCUAUUAUCUUGUUAGAAGACUUAACUUUUGAUUUUUCAAUUGAUUAAUUAAA